CACUGGUGUUCGGGUUGUCAUGCCAAUGGCACUGCCCGGUAGCUAAAUGCGGAAGAGAUAAGUGCUGAAAGCAUCUAAGCACGAAACUUGCCCCGAGAUGAGUUCUCCCUGACUCCCUGAGAGUCCUGAAGGAACGUUGAAGACGACGACGUUGAUAGGCCGGGUGUGUAAGCGCAGCGAUGCGUUGAGCUAACCGGUACUAAUGAACCGUGAGGCUUAACCUUACAACGCCGAAGGUGUUU
This 242-nucleotide ribosomal RNA is filed under the name Escherichia coli. Its description in RNAcentral is "partial 23S ribosomal RNA". It matches the Rfam family "Bacterial large subunit ribosomal RNA", at positions 2707 to 2925 of the family's 2925-position model. The record is from RNAcentral. Lineage: Bacteria; Pseudomonadati; Pseudomonadota; Gammaproteobacteria; Enterobacterales; Enterobacteriaceae.